RNAcentral lists this ribosomal RNA (497 nucleotides) under uncultured bacterium. RNAcentral's name for it is "partial 16S ribosomal RNA". It matches the Rfam family "Bacterial small subunit ribosomal RNA", at positions 28 to 507 of the family's 1533-position model. The record is from RNAcentral.
GAUGAACGCUGGCGGCGUGCCUAAUACAUGCAAGUCGAGCGAACAGAUGAGGAGCUUGCUCCUCUGACGUUAGCGGCGGACGGGUGAGUAACACGUGGAUAACCUACCUAUAAGACUGGGAUAACUUCGGGAAACCGGAGCUAAUACCGGAUAAUAUAUUGAACCGCAUGGUUCAAUAGUGAAAGACGGUCUUGCUGUCACUUAUAGAUGGAUCCGCGCCGCAUUAGCUAGUUGGUAAGGUAACGGCUUACCAAGGCAACGAUGCGUAGCCGACCUGAGAGGGUGAUCGGCCACACUGGAACUGAGACACGGUCCAGACUCCUACGGGAGGCAGCAGUAGGGAAUCUUCCGCAAUGGGCGAAAGCCUGACGGAGCAACGCCGCGUGAGUGAUGAAGGUCUUCGGAUCGUAAAACUCUGUUAUUAGGGAAGAACAUAUGUGUAAGUAACUGUGCACGUCUUGACGGUACCUAAUCAGAAAGCCACGGCUAACUACGUG